GAACAGUAAGCAUUAACCAAUCGAAGUACAAGCCAGAGCGCGUGGACAGCUAAUGAAUCUAUAUAAGUACAAACUUGUAAACAAUAAAGGUCUUUGGUUUUACCCGCACCAGAGUCUGUGAAUCAAUCCCUACAAAUGGCGCCCAACGUGGGGCACGAAACUACAGCGUGGAACGUACGCCGGUAGGGACUCCAGUUGGACGAAUACAUCAGCGGAGGAGCUGAACGACCCGGGUCUCAAUCACCAAAUAAAGGGAACCCUUUUUCAACAUGUCUUGUCGGAGUCCUGGCAGAUACCUGGCCCAACACUAUCCAGUCCCAGCAUUUGUGCUCCAGUUUCAACGCCUGUGUCGACAACUGGGACGGGUGGAGUGCUCAUUUACCCCAAUUACCACAGGAGCUGCAAGAACUUGAACUCCUGGGUUCAGUUAAUAUGGACAGCUGUUUGUAUUUCAAUUAUGCAGGGCGCAAUCGAACAACGGCGCAAAAUAUUAACUCGUCUCUGUCCAUAUAUAGAAAUGAUACAGCCUAGUGCAACUAUACUAGCCCGAAUAUUUCCAAAUCUAGCAACGCGCCUCUGGUGCUUCCCUCAGGGAUCUUUUUUAUCUGUGGCGAUCGCGCAUGGGGAGGAAUACCAUCUCAUAUAAAAGGAGGGCCUUACAGUUUGGGGAGGCUCACUUUGCUAACACCAAAUACAUCAAUAAUUUUUAAUCACUGGCGCUCCAAGCGAUCGACCCACGCCUUUAAGGCAGAGUGCAGGGAUGAUGUGGAAUUUUGGAACAGUGAAAAGAUAAUUAUGGCUUCUAUAGCUGCGCCAGGGGUGGCAGCCUCGCAGGCCUUAGCCACACUAAAUAAGUUGGGAUGUUGGCUAGCCAAGCAGACUAAUGCUACUUCUCAAGCCUUGAGUAGUUUGCUUUUAGAUGUUGAUUCUGUAAGACAUGCAACCUUGCAAAAUCGCGCAGCAAUUGAUUUUUUGCUUUUAGCACAGGGGCACGGGUGUGAAGAGCUUGACGGUAUGUGUUGUAUGAAUCUCUCCGAUCACUCGGAAUCUAUUCACCGUAGCAUUCAACAAUUGAAAGAGGGAAUUAAGAAGUUGCAAGUUGAUGAUGGAUGGGGUUGGAUAGAAAAUCUUUUUAGUGGCUGGGGAAUUAGUGGUUGGCUUAAAGGUUUGAUAAAGAUUGGGCUAAUUUUAUUGUGUGCUAUUUGUGGCCUCCUUCUCAUUAUUCCGUGUUUGCUAUCCUGUCUGCAAAGGGCCCUGCAAAGGAUGGUAAACACUGCAUUUUGGGUAGAAAAACAAAAAGGGGGAAUUGUGGGAUUCGCAGGGAGUGUUGCGAGCGACCUUGAACAAUUCGACAUAGCCUUGAAAGACAUAGAAUGAGGAAGUAAGCAAGCAAGCGCACAGAAAGGAAACUGAAGACAGAAAUAACUUGGAACACGGAUACAGGUCCAAAGAUAAAAGACGCGUGUCUUGCUCAACAGCACCAAUCAGAAACUUAGCUGUGGCGAGUGAACAGUAAGCAUUAACCAAUCGAAGUACAAGCCAGAGCGCGUGGACAGCUAAUGAAUCUAUAUAAGUACAAACUUGUAAGCAAUAAAGGUCUUUAGUUUUACCCGCA
Gymnogyps californianus (California condor) is the source of this 1615-nucleotide long non-coding RNA. RefSeq lists it as uncharacterized. The transcript is spliced from 2 exons. The record is from RefSeq and is a predicted model, not a curated record. Lineage: Eukaryota; Metazoa; Chordata; Aves; Accipitriformes; Cathartidae.